Long non-coding RNA from Lutra lutra (Eurasian river otter), 1326 nucleotides. RefSeq lists it as uncharacterized. Lineage: Eukaryota; Metazoa; Chordata; Mammalia; Carnivora; Mustelidae. The record is from RefSeq and is a predicted model, not a curated record. The transcript is spliced from 5 exons.
CUUAUACCCAGUUCUUUGGACUUGAACCCCCUUUUUCCUCAGGUCAAAACUAUAUUCCUGGAAGUUAUGGCUUGUUAUGUUUCUGGGAAAGGCACUACAAGUUGAAAUGAUGAGAAGGCCUGUGCAGAAUGAGAUGAAUGGUUAGAGGUUUUGUGGAUACAGCUGGAGAUUCCUGGUUUCCAGAGGUUUAGCUUAAGGCUGAGAGCUGCAGUGACCCAUGGGAGAGAUGCUCUAAGAAAUCUUUGGGCUCGAGACAAGUAGCCCAGUUGGAUCUUAUUUUCUGUAACACUUAUGGAAAAAGGAGGUGGAUCCUAAACUUGAGGAAAGAAUAUGAGAUUGUUCAAUUCAACUCCAGCUUCUGUAUGGAAAAUGAGACCAGACUACCCCUAAUAGUUGAGUACAUGAGUGUGUGUGGCUUGCUGUACAACCAUGCAGGAAACAUAGUAACUGGAGCAAAAGGAACCAAAGUGAGUGGAGUCUGCUUUGCUUCCCAGACAGCUGUCUUCUCUCUGUUCCUGUCACACUGGUGUCCCUGCCAGCAAUGCUCUGAGGACCUGGAUCCAGAGGCAAGGGCCCUAUAAGGGAUUCUGGAAAGACAGUGUUAUUCACUUUAGAGAUAUUAGACUACAGCUACAGAAAUGGAGGAAUGACUUCAAACAAUGACAGAUGAUUGAAACUCCUUUGUAUUAUGCAGGAAGCCAGAUGGUUGAAUUGACUUAAUAUUAUUGUGGGAUGGAAAGUAGAAAGUGGAUCUGUGCAGACAUUUACGAAGCAGGGAUAAUAGUUUUUUCCAGGCUCUGUCAUUAAAUGUCAUCACCUUAGUUCAACAUAUCUGAAUUCCAGUGUCAUUAAUGAUCCUUAAGGUUCUUUUGGUAAAUGGAAUUCAGAAAGUAUUUACUGUGUAACUUCUAUUACCAGGCAAUCUCCCAGGGGCUGGGGUACCUCUGGGAAAAAAGAUGGGACCCCUGACUUAAUGGGUUUACCUUUUAGGAUUGGAGGAGUGGGGAAAGAGAGAGAAUAAACUAUAUAUGUAACAAAUACGUAAAUUAUAUAUUAAUAUUAGAUCCUUGAUUAGGUCUAAACUCUUCCUAUAAAAGGCCAACUGGUGAAUAUUUUAGACUUCAUGGGCCUUGCAGUCUGUGCAACUCUGCCUUGUGGCAGAAGCAGCUAUAGAUGACACAUAAACAAAUGGGAUGGCUGUGUUGCCCCCAGUUGUAGUUUGCCAACAUCCACGUUUGAAGAAAGUGUGGUUAGAAAUCUACAUGUGGUGACAGACUUACAUUUUUUUUUCCUCCUUAAAUCUUUGAAGGCCAAUAAUUUUGUAAA